RNAcentral lists this ribosomal RNA (567 nucleotides) under uncultured bacterium. RNAcentral describes it as "partial 16S ribosomal RNA". It matches the Rfam family "Bacterial small subunit ribosomal RNA", at positions 355 to 914 of the family's 1533-position model. The record is from RNAcentral.
UGGGGAAUUUUGGACAAUGGGCGCAAGCCUGAUCCAGCCAUGCCGCGUGCGGGAAGAAGGCCUUCGGGUUGUAAACCGCUUUUGUCAGGGAAGAAAUCUUCUGAGUUAAUACCUCGGGAGGAUGACGGUACCUGAAGAAUAAGCACCGGCUAACUACGUGCCAGCAGCCGCGGUAAUACGUAGGGUGCAAGCGUUAAUCGGAAUUACUGGGCGUAAAGCGUGCGCAGGCGGUUUUGUAAGACAGAGGUGAAAUCCCCGGGCUCAACCUGGGAACUGCCUUUGUGACUGCAAGGCUUGAGUGCGGCAGAGGGGGAUGGAAUUCCGCGUGUAGCAGUGAAAUGCGUAGAUAUGCGGAGGAACACCGAUGGCGAAGGCAAUCCCCUGGGCCUGCACUGACGCUCAUGCACGAAAGCGUGGGGAGCAAACAGGAUUAGAUACCCCUGGUAGUCCACGCCCUAAACGAUGUCAACUGGUUGUUGGGAAGGUUCCUUCUCAGUAACGUAGCUAACGCGUGAAGUUGACCGCCUGGGGAGUACGGCCGCAAGGUUGAAACUUAAAUGAAUUGAC